GACAGAGGAUGCAAGCGUUAUCCGGAAUGAUUGGGCGUAAAGCGUCUGUAGGUGGCUUUUUAAGUUCGCCGUCAAAUCCCAGGGCUCAACCCUGGACAGGUGGUGGAAACUACCAAGCUAGAGUACGGUAGGGGCAGAGGGAAUUUCCGGUGGAGCGAUGAAAUGCGUAGAUAUUGGAAAGACCACCGAUGGCGAAGGCACUCUACUGGGCCACUACUGACACUGAGAGACGAAAGCUAGGGGAGCAAAUGGG
This 253-nucleotide ribosomal RNA is filed under the name uncultured bacterium. RNAcentral's name for it is "partial 16S ribosomal RNA". It matches the Rfam family "Bacterial small subunit ribosomal RNA", at positions 524 to 776 of the family's 1533-position model. The record is from RNAcentral.